RNAcentral lists this long non-coding RNA (4874 nucleotides) under Heterocephalus glaber (naked mole-rat). RNAcentral describes it as "lncRNA (ENSHGLG00000042785.1)". Lineage: Eukaryota; Metazoa; Chordata; Mammalia; Rodentia; Bathyergidae. The record is from RNAcentral.
CCAAAGUAUAUAACAAGGGGAGAACAGUUAGUGCUGAUUUUCAUUUGCAUACAUUUUCAUAUAUUUUGGUGAAAAUAAUAGACUAGUGCGAGCUGGGCUUAGAGGACUCAGUGUAAAGGGAAGGCUUAGGCUCUGACGGUGCUGGAGAGUUAAGAAUGUGCCUUCCCUCCACCCCCACCCCAGGCACCUUAUUUAAAAAAAAACAAAAAACACCUUCUUUUAUUUAAAAAAAAAAAUCUAACCUUGGAAGUUUGCUCGUGCCAAGAUAGAAGCACUUUCCUGUGAGAAGUAUCCUUUUAACACACACACACACACACACACACACACACGCACAUGCACACGCACGAGUGCGCACAUUUUCCCAGUGAUGGGGACUAUUGAAUUCAGGGCCUCAUGCCUGCUAGGCAAAUGCUCUGCCACUGAGCUAUACUGCCAGGCCUUUUAAGGACAUUUUAUUUUGAGACAGGAUCUUCCUAAGGUGCCCAGGCUGGUUUUGAAUUUAGGAUCCACUUGCUUUAGCCUCCUGAGUAGCUGAGAUUAUAGGUAUAUGCCACUAGGCUUAACUUCCUUCUUUAUACAGUGGUACCUCAGUUCAUGAACUUAAUUCUUUCCAUGAUUCUGAUUGUAAACUGAAUUGGAUGAGAACCAAAUCAAAUUCAAUGGUUAGGUUUGAUGUCGACCUUAUGGGGAAAUUUAAUUUGGUUCUCAUGCAAUUUGGUUUGCAAUCAGAAUCAUGGAAAGAAUGGUUUGUGAACCGAGGCACCACUGUAUUCUCUUAAAAGUUAAAAUGUAAAUAAAUAAGUAUAAUUUAAUAUAGUAAUUAAAUAUGCACAUAGCAUGUCUGAGUAAGUGUUUACCAGUGUCCUUCCCUUUCAGGCCCCUGCAUUUUAACAUAGACUUGCCAGAGGAAGCUGGCUCAUGUGCAUUUUGUGAAGGAAAGUGAGCAGCAUGGGGUUGUCCACUGGAGACUCCAUAUGGCACACUGCAGUAUGCUCCUGUGUCCAAGGCUGAAACUUAGAACCAUAUCUCAGUUCUGGAUCUGGCAUCCAGGCCCAUCUUGAUCCUGGGUUUAGGAGACAGCCUAUAGCAUGCAGCUCCCUUUGAGACAUGUGACAAGCAUGUGGAUAAAGACCCAGAGUCUUCAAAGCUAAUUUCACCUCUGACAUCUGACCUCUUCAGUCAAUAUCCCUCAGUACUGGGUAUCUCAUAGGUCCCUGUUCCUCCUUCCCUGUGUCCUAUUGUCCUAGUUCAGACCCCACCUCUGUCACUCAUUGCCGGGACCACAGAACCAGUGGGAUCCUAGCCUUCAACUCUUCCUCUUCCCCACCAUUCCCACACUCACUCUAAAUGGGAAGCUGAUAGUUUGCCCCUUGCUGAAAAUUGUGCAGUGGUUUUACGUUGCUCUACAAGAUGAUUCGAUUCAGCAUCUGUCCUUCCAGGGUAUUUCAGUCUGCUUAGGUAGCAUCACACAAUACCUUGGACUAGAUGAUUUACAAUCAGUAAAAAUUUACUGUGCAUGGUUCUGAAGGUGGUGAAGUCCAGGAUCUGGCUCCUGAAAGACUGCAUGACUGGGACAGCAGAGGAAGAGGGAUAAAGUGCCUGGAUAUGUGCAUUCAUCGAGUGUCCUGAAGAUGCUCCUUCUGACUGGAAGAGCUGAAGAGACAAGACUUUUCACUAAGUGAUAUUUUUGAUGCAGUCUAAGGAUUUAUCUCAAAAUCCCAGUCACAUUACUUCCUGAGAACAAAAGGUCUGCUGAAGUUGCCUGAUGAAAAGUCCAGCCUUCCAGAAUCUUCCAUUCUACAAGUGCUACCUACAGUGACUCUGAGAGAUGGGAAUGAUGAAAACCUGGGGAUGGGGAGCCAGACCUUGCCUGGUGGAUGGGCGGUAGUCUGUGAACUCUAUUGUGGGGUGCUGGGUUACAGGAAGUGGCCUUGAGCAAUGUGGCCAAGUUGGGACUUAGAAGGCAGCAUGUGAGGGGCCUGAAUUCUGGACAGUGACCUCUUCAGUCUUCACCAGAACUGCACAGAUAUCCUUGCCAAGCUUGCUUACCAGCUGUGGACGUGCUCGAUUCUGGAGCUCAUGCCCCUCCAGGCCAUGGCCCAUCUCCAUGUGGAGCUGAAGAUCCUUCCUCCUGGAGCCCUCUUCUUGGUGUUUGUCUUACUUCACAUCCAAUGGAGCUCAUUCUUAGACAUGAAAGCCCAAGACAACAUAUCUGAAGACAGUCUUUUCUUACCAAGCAUAAAAACUCCAUUUCUUCACCUUGGCUUGGUGGAGGAGUUUCUGUGGCUGUGGCCACCCUAGCCCCCUCUGGACAAGCUGCCCUCUCUCCAGCUUCGUAGGGCAGUGUGCACAACACACCAGAAGUUCAGGAACAGUCUGCUCCAGCACAUGAGACCCUCACUCCACCAAUGCAACCAGAAGUUGAUUUAAUCUGAUUUAAAUUUUUGGCAAGCACAUCAUUUCUAAUUGUACUACACUUACCAUUGGUUAAAAUGCUUUCUUUUAUAUUGAUGAUUGUAUGGAAGCACAUGGUCUUAAAGUCACCCAGACAGCCCAAGAGAAUGAAUCUGUUUACAAAUAGUAUCACUGCAGGCUGGACAUGAAAAUGAGACCCCCAUCAAGACGCACUAAUACCUGUAAUUUAUGGGGAUUCAAGGUCACCAGUGGCUCCCACAGGCUGGUGACAAUGAACUUCGCUCUGAGGGGGGGGGGCAUAUCCUCAGCCAGCUCCUCCCACUGCAAUCUCCUUCCACUCCAUGAGUCAAAUCUGCCCAGCUGUGAUGUACCUCUUUGUGUCUUUGCAAGCUGUUCCUGCCAUGGAAAGGUGAGGUGGCCAGGCCCUGGGUAUCACCCCUUUCCUCCCCACAGUACCCCUGCAAGCAGUCAGUCUUGUGCUCUUUUCACAGAUCUGGAAGUAGAAGCUCAGUUCAGAGUUGUCUUCCCAGGGUCAUAGAAUAGCUGACCCUGGGUUUGGACUCAGGUGGGUCACAUUUGGUUGUUCCAGGUUGGGUCCCUCAGCAACCUGUCACUGGUGAGGAGACAGUGGGCCCUUGGUGUCACCAUGCCAGAGCUCCAUGGCCAGGAAUCAGUGUGGGGCCUUCCCCUGCACAGGGGUGGCCAGUGCCAUGUCCAGCUCUGUCGCUUUGCCUGGGUGAACUGGACAUUGAACAGCUUUGCUCUUUGCAUUUGGUUCCAGAAGAGAACACUUGCUCCAGUUCUUACUCCUUACACAUCCUCAGCUGUUUCUCAUUAUAAUCCCAGAGCCAGUUGCAUGCCCCUCAGUGCCCCUGGUACUUCCAAAAAUGGGUGAGUGUGCUACAGGGCUGAAACCCCCAGGGGGAGCCUCCUCAUCAGUUCUGAUGCUCACCCCUGGAUUGGAGGUGGCCACACAGCCCAUCCUGCUUCAGCCCCACCCAGAAAGGGAUGCUGGGUGACAGCUGGCUUCACGCUGCUGCUCGGUGGUGAUGUCUUGUGAAGAUCCCUUCCCUGUGCUCAUUACACUGUAGUCGUACUGCAGGGGACAGAGGUGAACGCUGUGUAUUUAUCUGAUUAAGGUGCCCGUUGUUUCAAAUCUAUUUUCACAGAGACUUUCUCCCUCUGGUAGACAUUCAACUACAUAACACAUUAAAAAUUAUAUCUGCAUUUGUGACUUCCUCUCUUGUGUUGAUGUGGCCCCAUGUAUGUGUGCACAUGUGUGUGCUAACUUCUGUCCCUUGUAGGAUCAAUAUGUACUCCACAAUUAUGAAACCAAUGCCAUCUUUUAAAAAGCAAGGUUGAUAUACACCCAGUAAAAAAUAAACUAACCUGGCCCAGUUACAUAGAAUACCGGUUACACAAAUUACAUGACAACCAGAAAGCACAGUGACUCACUUUUUUUUAUCCCAUGUCCUUCCCCCUGAGAGACAGACUCUCGUUUCUGUGAGCAUUUGGGCAACUGCACUUCUGGACCAGCCCUGUCCAGUUCUGGCUUUUGAGUGGGACUUCAAGUAUCUCCCUCCUUCUGGCUACCAUUAUGAGAGCCCUCAUUAAUCUUUGAGUUCUUUGUUCCCCACUUUGGUAAAAGAAUAACGCCACCCCCAGAAUUAUGCAAAAAUCAGUGGUAAAGUUAAUUGGAAUCUGAAUCUCUUAAUGUUUUCCUCUUUCUUCAAUGACUGUUUGUUUCUGAAAAGUGAGGCUCAACUCAGAAGAAGAUUAUAAUUGGGUGAGUGAACUGGUCCUUGAGAGAAAGUGGGUAGAGAUUGUCUUCCAAACAACACAAGAUAGUGUUUACACUUAGGGUUUCUGUGCAAGUUUUACCCUGCAGCUUCUGGGGUGACAGCAGGUGAGAAGGAUAUGACCAGGGUAUCUCCAUGCACAUCCUGAAGACCUUGGAAGGGGAAGGACCUGGCUCCUUCCUCCCAGGGGACUGAGAGGCAGGAAGGAAGAGAAGAAAGGAUAGAGGAGGUGCUGAUGGCCAGAAAGUGGCCAGCUUCUUAUUUUAAUUAUGGGACAAAUCCCCAACUCUGGUGAAUGAGCUAUUCACCUCCUACCUACUUGGGUCCUCCAUGUAGCUUCAUAGUACCAAAGCAUUUUAUAUUUAUAGCAGCAUGUAACAUGCCGUGUAAGCAGUGUAUAACAUGCCAUGCAAAGUGUUUCCCUGGAUUCUCAUGUCAACGUGUUGGGGGCAAACUGGAAAGAUGCUUAUCUCAACUUUAUAGAGGAAGAAACCGAGGUCCCAGUGGCUUGUGGAUUGUCCAAGGCAGCCAACCUGCAGGUAGAGGCAGGGGUAAGGUCUGCAGGCUCAGAGAGGAAGAGAAAGGGUUGAUAGGGGCAGAAACUUGUCUCAAAGGUAGCUGCUGAUUGAUGAGGUGAGCAAAGUUUAUAGAAAACAACAG